Alligator mississippiensis (American alligator) is the source of this 795-nucleotide long non-coding RNA. RefSeq lists it as uncharacterized. NCBI's taxonomy places the organism in Eukaryota, Metazoa, Chordata, Crocodylia, Alligatoridae. The record is from RefSeq and is a predicted model, not a curated record. The transcript has 3 exons.
UGUUUUCUCAAUUGCAGGCAGAUUGGCCAAUGAAGGCUAAUCAGAGAUCCAAGAAUAUCUGCAUGGCCUCAGCCUCCUGAAACCUUGUGCUGAAGAGGGAGCACUAUUGAUUUCUCUUGUCAUCUGGAAACAAACUUCAAAAACAGCUCCCUCUGUGUGACCUCUAUUUAAAGAUCUCUCUUAGCUAUUAGGAGCUAGCGUUGCAAUGUGUAUGUUUAGCUGACUGAGGAUGCCCUGUGAAAUCUUCAGCCUGGGCAGCAGUCAUCUCCAGUGAGGAUGCAGUUCAGCUUCUUAGCCCAUUGACUCCUCUGUACCUCUGCCACAAUUGCCAGCAAGCAGGUUAAUAAAAGGUGCAACAACGUGCAAGUGCUGAAAAAUCAUAGACCCCCACAACCUGGGAAAGGAGCCAGUCAAGAAGACACCUGGAGUUUGCCAUUGAGAUGCCCUCACUGUUGAGGGAAGACUCCAAAGGAAGAACAUGGUAAUUGUGAGAGAGACUGGGAAAGAGGACUUAAAGUAAGUAAAUGGAAAAGCAAGAAAGCUGACUCUGUUGUAAAACGAAAUGUUGUAACUUGGUUUAAAACAAAAACGGUAAUAGUUGAAAUACUAUCUUCCAGGCCCCUUGGAAAGUUACAUAAUAGCCACCUGGAUUGCUUUUGUUUUUGCAAUGAGAGGCAUAAAAAUCAAAGAAUAUGGAGCAAUAGCAAGAGAGAGAGUUUAAAAUGCAACUGCUUCCCCUCUACCUCUUUCUGAGCAUCUACAAGGCAGUCUGACAUGAACCUUCAGUAAAAUUAA